AACGCACCUUGCACCUUCUGGUAUUCCGGAAGGUACAUCUGUUUGAGUGUCAUUAAACUCUCAACUAAACAGCUUUUGUUAGCUCGUUUAGCUUGGAUGUGAGGGUUGCGGGCGACUUUUUACAGUUGUCGGCUCCCUUUAAAUGCAUUAGCUGGGGACUAGUAUGUUAUUCAAGUGCUUCAAUGCUUGAAGACCUCCGGUGUGAUAAUUAUCUACGCUGUUGGUUUAGUUGUUGCGCAUAUAUUGAACUACAGAGUGUUUCUGCUUCCAACUGUCUCGUAAGAGACUAGUCCGCUACAGGGCUACUUUUGACAAUUGUGACCUCAAAUCAGAUGGGAUUACCCGCUGAACUUAA
RNAcentral lists this unclassified non-coding RNA (355 nucleotides) under uncultured Lachnella. RNAcentral describes it as "partial contains 5.8S ribosomal RNA, internal transcribed spacer 2, and large subunit ribosomal RNA". The record is from RNAcentral. Lineage: Eukaryota; Fungi; Basidiomycota; Agaricomycetes; Agaricales; Niaceae.